UACGUAGGACCCAAGCGUUAUCCGGAGUGACUGGGCGUAAAGAGUUGCGUAGGCGGCUCGUUAAGCAGAUAGUGAAAUCACGUGGCUCAACCAUUGUGGCUAUUAUCUGAACUGGCGAGCUCGAGAAUGGUAGGGGUAGCUGGAAUUUCUAGUGUAGGAGUGAAAUCCGUAGAUAUUAGAAGGAACACCAAUAGCGUAGGCAGGCUACUGGACCAUUUCUGACGCUAAGGCACGAAAGCGUGGGGAGCGAACCGG
Molecule: ribosomal RNA, 255 nt
Filed under: uncultured bacterium
Lineage: Bacteria
Description: partial 16S ribosomal RNA
Rfam family: Bacterial small subunit ribosomal RNA
Source: RNAcentral